AACGCGAAGAACCUUACCAACCUUUGACAUGUCCAUUAUGAGCCUGAGAGAUCAGGUUCUUCGGUUCGGCCGGGUGGAACACAGGUGCUGCAUGGCUGUCGUCAGCUCGUGUCGUGAGAUGUUGGGUUAAGUCCCGCAACGAGCGCAACCCUCAUCUUCAGUUGCCCACGGGUCAGGCCGGGCUACUCUGAAGAAACCGCCGGUGACAAGCCGGAGGAAGGCGGGGAUGACGUCAAGUCCUCAUGGCCCUUACAGGUUGGGCUACACACGUACUACAAUGGUGGUGACAGAGGGCUGCGAACCCGCGAGGGGGAGCCAAUCCUCAAAAGCCAUCUCAGUUCGGAUUGCACUCUGCAACUCGGGUGCAUGAAGUUGGAAUCGCUAGUAAUCGCAGAUCAGCACGCUGCGGUGAAAUCGUUCCCGGGCCUUGUACACACCGCUAGUC
Molecule: ribosomal RNA, 445 nt
Filed under: uncultured bacterium
Lineage: Bacteria
Description: bacterial SSU rRNA
Rfam family: Bacterial small subunit ribosomal RNA
Source: RNAcentral